CCUUGUACACACCGCCCGUCACAUCACGAAAGCCUAGUUGUACUAGAAGCCGGUGACUUAACCGAAAGGAAAUAGCCGUCCAAGGUAUGACUGGUGAUUGGGGUG
Molecule: ribosomal RNA, 105 nt
Filed under: uncultured bacterium
Lineage: Bacteria
Description: partial 16S ribosomal RNA
Rfam family: Bacterial small subunit ribosomal RNA
Source: RNAcentral